CACAUACAGGCCUAUGAAGCUGUCUUAAGACUUCACAAAUAGUUUACAAAACGCUUCAGAAAUUUUUUUAAAUUUAGAAUAGUUGACAGUAAUCAACAAUUUGCAAGAACUGCAUAUUCUGCUUGAUUUUAGACUCUCGUCAUACAUAAAUUUUAACUAUGGUUCAUCAAAGACAACAACGAAGAGGAAAAUGUCAACAUCUAGAAUAACUAUGGAAUACCUAAUAUACAGACAAACACCUAGAACUCCCUCUUCGUCUCUUCUGCAGAGUUUGAAAUAAAUCCAGAAAGAGGGUGGGGAGGGACGACCAGAUCCAAGGGAAUGCCGUUAGAAGUGGCACAAAUAUUAAUAGAUAUCGCCACUCACGAAUUUACUGGUGGCUCGCCGAUCAUUGACGAAUGAGUUGGGAUGGGAAAUGCCUGUUUUCUAGCACAAAAUUCAAAUUUAUAGAACACAAUGCACCAUGUUAUUGCUACUCCCUUUUAGAAAAGAAUAUACAUGAUAAACCUUCAGUGCCUCUUCUCAACUCUCUGAUGAACGUCUAGCACACAUUCAAAGCCAGCAGCAGAACGAACUACAACACAAAAGAAUGAUGAUAAUCCUCAAAUGACAGAACUCCUCUUUUUUAAGACACAUCUACAGCAAUACGACAUUUGAUGAACUACAAACAAUUAGUGCAAGCAUUGGGAUCACAAAAAGUAAUCAGGAGUCUUCCUUGUGGUGUCAGGCUCUAUCUGCCGUGGAGCUGGGUCAAACUGAAGGAAAUUCUGCUCCAUGUUUUCGCCUAUUUCUAGAAUUGCAGCCAUGUUGCCACACCGGUAACAAUAGUUUGGAGCACUAAAUACUGUCACAACAUUCUUAUCCUGUUGAAGUUGUAACAAAUAGCAUGUCAAAUAUAAAGUAAUAAUUAAAAACUAGCAAUUUCAAGUCACAACAUUCUUAUCCUGUUGAAGUUAUA
Molecule: long non-coding RNA, 958 nt
Filed under: Nicotiana benthamiana
Lineage: Eukaryota; Viridiplantae; Streptophyta; Magnoliopsida; Solanales; Solanaceae
Description: long non-coding RNA (NBEN_LNC012349)
Source: RNAcentral